UUUUAUCAAAUCUGGAUAUAGAAGAGAAGAAGUUUUCUUUUAGUAGCACAAGUAUCCAGUCUCUAUGAGUAUCUACUCGAGAUCAGUCUAGAACAGUCCUCUUCAAGUUGAAUUUUUUUUCUCUAAGAAAAUUUAGCCUACUGAAUCUGAAUGAAGUCUAGAUCGCAAUCAACUCUUGAUCUCUUUCCUUGAUCUUCUUCUUCUCUUCUUCUCUUGCCUUUCUCCCUUGCUUUGUACUGUUACCAAAUACCAGG
Molecule: long non-coding RNA, 254 nt
Filed under: Elaeis guineensis (African oil palm)
Lineage: Eukaryota; Viridiplantae; Streptophyta; Magnoliopsida; Arecales; Arecaceae
Description: long non-coding RNA (EGUI_LNC076553)
Source: RNAcentral